GACGAACGCUGGCGGCGUGCCUAAUACAUGCAAGUAGAACGCACAGUUUAUACCGUAGCUUGCUACGCCAUAGACUGUGAGUUGCGAACGGGUGAGUAACGCGUAGGUAACCUGCCUGGUAGCGGGGGAUAACUAUUGGAAACGAUAGCUAAUACCGCAUAAUAUUGAUUAUUGCAUGAUAAUUGAUUGAAAGAUGCUAUUGCAUCACUACCAGAUGGACCUGCGUUGUAUUAGCUAGUAGGUGAGGUAACGGCUCACCUAGGCGACGAUACAUAGCCGACCUGAGAGGGUGAUCGGCCACACUGGGACUGAGACACGGCCCAGACUCCUACGGGAGGCAGCAGUAGGGAAUCUUCGGCAAUGGACGAAAGUCUGACCGAGCAACGCCGCGGGAGUGAAGAAGGUUUUCGGAUCGUAAAGCUCUGUUGUAAGAGAAGAACGGGUGUGAGAGUGGAAAGUUCACACUGUGACGGUAGCUUACCAGAAAGGGACGGCUAACUACGUG
RNAcentral lists this ribosomal RNA (505 nucleotides) under uncultured bacterium. RNAcentral describes it as "partial 16S ribosomal RNA". It matches the Rfam family "Bacterial small subunit ribosomal RNA", at positions 28 to 507 of the family's 1533-position model. The record is from RNAcentral.